RNAcentral lists this ribosomal RNA (293 nucleotides) under uncultured prokaryote. RNAcentral describes it as "partial 16S ribosomal RNA". It matches the Rfam family "Archaeal small subunit ribosomal RNA", at positions 455 to 747 of the family's 1478-position model. The record is from RNAcentral.
GUGUCAGCAGCCGCGGUAAUACCGGCAGCACGAGUGAUGACCGCUAUUAUUGGGCCUAAAGCGUCCGUAGCUGGCCAUGCAAGUCCAUCGGGAAAUCCGCGCGCUUAACGCGCGGGCGUCCAGCGGAAACUGUUCGGCUUGGGACCGGAAGAUCUGAGGGGUACGUCCGGGGUAGGAGUGAAAUCCUGUAAUCCUGGACGGACCACCGGUGGCGAAAGCGCCUCAGGAGGACGGAUCCGACAGUGAGGAACGAAAGCUAGGGUCUCGAACCGGAUUAGAAACCCGAGUCGUCC